RNAcentral lists this ribosomal RNA (631 nucleotides) under uncultured bacterium. RNAcentral's name for it is "bacterial SSU rRNA". It matches the Rfam family "Bacterial small subunit ribosomal RNA", at positions 268 to 916 of the family's 1533-position model. The record is from RNAcentral.
CCAAGUCGACGAUCUAUAGCUUGUCUGAGAGGAUGAUCAGCCACACUGGGACUGAGACCCGGCCCCAGACUUCUACGGGAGGCAGCAGUGGGAAUCUUGGACAAUGGGGGCAACCCUGAUCCCAGCCAUGCCGCGUGAGUGAUGAAGGCCCUAGGGUCGUAAAGCUCUUUCGCCAGAGAUGAUAAUGACAGUAUCUGGUAAAGAAACCCCGGCUAACUCCGUGCCAGCAGCCGCGGUAAUACGGAGGGGGUUAGCGUUGUUCGGAAUUACUGGGCGUAAAGCGCGCGUAGGCGGAUCGGAAAGUUGGGGGUGAAAUCCCGGGGCUCAACCCCGGAACUGCCUCCAAAACUAUCGGUCUAGAGUUCGAGAGAGGUGAGUGGAAUUCCGAGUGUAGAGGUGAAAUUCGUAGAUAUUCGGAGGAACACCAGUGGCGAAGGCGGCUCACUGGCUCGAUACUGACGCUGAGGUGCGAAAGUGUGGGGAGCAAACAGGAUUAGAUACCCUGGUAGUCCACACCGUAAACGAUGAAUGCCAGUCGUCGGGUAGCAUGCUGCUCGGUGACACACCUAACGGAUUAAGCAUUCCGCCUGGGGAGUACGGUCGCAAGAUUAAAACUCAAAUGAAUUGACGG